This 435-nucleotide long non-coding RNA is filed under the name Manihot esculenta (cassava). RNAcentral's name for it is "long non-coding RNA (MESC_LNC003351)". Lineage: Eukaryota; Viridiplantae; Streptophyta; Magnoliopsida; Malpighiales; Euphorbiaceae. The record is from RNAcentral.
UCCAUAGGCUACAUUUAUGAGUUUCCUUUCUGAUGGAAUCAAUCCGCCAUAGAAGAAUUGAAUGAGGGCUUUGUCUGACAUAUCAUGUUGUGGACAACCUGUACAUAGUCUUUCAAACCUUUCCCAAUAAUCAUAUAAGUCCUCAGUUGGUUUUUGCCUUAUGCUAGUGAUUUCUCUUAUUAUGCCAAUUGAUUUAGAUGGUGGGAAGUAUUUGUCCAAAAAGGCUUGGACCAUAUCAUCCCAAGAAGUUAUAGAUCCAGGUGGCAAAUAAAAUAACCAAUCCUUAGCAUGGUCAUCUAAUGAAAAAGGGAAAGCUCUUAGUUUAACAUGAUCUUCAGAGAUCCCUUGAGGUCUCAUGGAUGAGCAAAUAAUUUUAAAUUCUUUUAAGUGCUUAUGUGGAUUUUCAUUUUGCAAACCUCUAAAUUUAGGGAGAUA